This is a long non-coding RNA of Rhea pennata, 1075 nucleotides long. RefSeq lists it as uncharacterized. The record is from RefSeq and is a predicted model, not a curated record. NCBI's taxonomy places the organism in Eukaryota, Metazoa, Chordata, Aves, Rheiformes, Rheidae. The transcript has 4 exons.
CUGGGAGGGCGGGCUGAACACGCUCGCUGGGCGGGCGCAGCGCGUCAGCGGGCCCCGGGGCUGAUGUCUGCCUUGGGCCUUCGGUCUGGGGUUUCUCUGAACUUGGUUUUCCCAGAAUUUCCUGCCAGAAUUUAGCUCUGAAGAUGCCACAACUUGGAAUCAGGAGGGAAAGUCAUUAAGUUUGCAUUUAACGGUUCUGCUCAUCAGAUGUUCCUGCUGACCACAAGUGGCUGCUUAGUCUACGCCUCCUCCUAGGUGGCUGGACUGGAAGAUCUUUCUGCAUGAUGAUGAAAACCUGUUCCUGCCCUUCAGUUCAGUUUUCCCAUGUUUGGUCCUUUUAGAUAAUAAGAUGGAAUUGACAGCACGGAGAGUUGGGGCUGUGGACGUUUCUGCUGUGUAAACAGCCAAGGAACUGCCUGGUUUCCACCUUUCCUCCCUCCCCGCUACCCGCUGAAGAGGCUUUGGCAGCACUCGUAGAGCCUAACAUCUGGGAACACUGUUAGCAACUGCUACACCAGGCCAGACCCUUUCCUGGAUUUAAUGUAGUUACCUCAAACGUUCCAAGAUGUGAAUGUUCCCCCCAUCACCACCACCAGCAGCAGCAGGGGCUACAGCAAAAUGAGCUUCCGCAGUGAGCGAUGCAAGAGGAUCUGCUCCCUGGGGCUGGUGUUCGGGCUGUCUCCCUCCAGAUCCCAUAACGGGUAUCGGCUACCUUUCAGCAGCAAAUAAAAUCCUGCAGUUUACAGCUGGAGAGAGACACAGGCCAGAGGGAGGUCGUGCCCGGGUUUCUCACCGCUCCGGUCCCGUGGGAGAGAGGAGGCUUGUGUGAGGUGUAGGUACUGCCUGAGCAUCCCUUGGACCCUUAAUCCGCCUUCCCUGCCAUGCCGGGAUAGCACGGCCGGGGAUGGUCUGCUUUCACUCACCGUGCUGUGAUGAUGGGGGCAGGGGGAGAAAUCAAAAAAGCUUCAAAAAAUUUCUACGCUCUAGCUACAAAAUCUGCUGCGCCUCCAAGUUGGGCCUUGGAGUCAGAUACGAUCAGGCUUAAUUUGACAGCUAUUUCUUAAAUAUUUUAAAA